This 265-nucleotide ribosomal RNA is filed under the name uncultured bacterium. RNAcentral describes it as "partial 16S ribosomal RNA". It matches the Rfam family "Bacterial small subunit ribosomal RNA", at positions 90 to 354 of the family's 1533-position model. The record is from RNAcentral.
ACUUAGUGGCGGACGGGUGAGUAACGCGUGGGUAACCUGCCUCACACAGGGGGAUAACAGUUGGAAACGACCGCUAAUACCGCAUAACCCGCCGGUAUCGCAUGAUACUGACGGAAAAGAUUUUAUCGGUGUGAGAUGGACCCGCGUCUGAUUAGCCAGUUGGCAGGGUAACGGCCUACCAAAGCGACGAUCAGUAGCCGGCCUGAGAGGGUGAACGGCCACAUUGGGACUGAGACACGGCCCAAACUCCUACGGAAGGCAGCAG